GCUGCCCUAAAGCUAAGGGAAAGGAAAAACAAAUAGUUAAUUUAUUGAGAUUAUAGUCCUGUAGACAUGAGUCUCCCUCAGGUUACCAAACAUCUUAGGGAUUUACAAGAAAAAAGCAUUCUUGUCAAUAACCUAACUUCCAGAAGGCACCUCCCAACUAUCUUAAUGUCAAUGCUUUACUAGAGGAAUGAACAACCUUAACUUUCAGAAAGACGAGGCCUCCAGUAUCUUGUAGGUCCUCCUUAGCAUAUGAAAUUUCUUUAAAAAUCUCCCUUUUCCUUAUCUCCUUCAACUCCCGGGAUAUAAUGAGCUGCCCCUCACAACCCUGGGGCAGCAGUCCUGUCUUCGUGCUUUAAUAAAACCACCAUUUUGCACCAAAGACAUCUCAAGAAUUCUUUCUUGGUCGUCAGCUCCAGACCCCAUCCCAUCAAACCUCACCUACAUUCCAAAACUACAUCAGCAGGACUCCUUGACCCCUGCCCCUCCAUGCAGAGUCUUUCACGGGAUUCCCCUAUUGCCCAAAACGGUUGCCACCAGGGAGGAAGAAAGAUGGGAGCGGAGGCCAUGGCAACGGUUGAUGAGGCAACUUGCCUUGUUCAACAUUCCUUCGGAUUUUCAAGGAAUCCUCCGAGAGGGCUGGCUUUUCAUGAGGUUAAAGGCCCUGUCACCACAGUGACUUAUUUCAUGGACACCUAGAAUAUUGACCACCAGUCUGGAGUCCUACUUACCUGAGAUGCCCUGCCAGUGAAUUAAAAGCACCUCUGUGAAAGAAGAGAAAUAGAAUUGAGAUGGGAAAUAUUCCUACCAGGGAGGAUUCAGCUAUGGUGUAGAUGAAAACGUCUGUGUCUCCAUUGAUGCCCCACCAAACACUGUUUUGGUGUCAUGGAUUCGGAGCCUGAGUCUGAGCAGACACCGGUGCACAGGCUAUCACUUUCAAGGCUCGUGCCCCCCUCCCUUGCUCCACCUUGAGAGGUGACUACAUUCGAGGUAUCAUUGCUGAGGCAGGAGCUCAAGGGGCUGGAUCAGUGCUGGUGGGAAAGGAGCAGAGAGGAGGCAGGAGCAUUUCUGGAGGCAUCAGCUCUGGCCUGCCAAGGAUAAGAAGAGUCACCUCUGCUAUGUUCUUGAUCUCUGCCAGCAUUACAAGUAUUAUCCAUAAUCCAAGGUUUGUUUUUACGAAUCAACUGUUUCUAUUAUCUCUUUUGUGAAAGUGAGUUGGAAUAGGAUAGCCCCACACAGUGUGCUCUAUCAGUCUACCUAGCCGGGUACACACAGACUAGAUGUUGCAGUGUGUUGCGUGUGAACGAGUGUGUGUGGGUGCCUCCCUGCAUAGCCUGUGAGACGAUAGCAAUUUCUUUCCUUCCACUGAGUACUUCUGUGCUUUAGUGACAUGCAGUCAAUGUGUUCAUUAAGAGUUGAUGCAACUUAAUUCUCUCUAAAAAAAAUAAAUAAAAGCAUUAGUCAUAAUCGUUUAUAGUAUUUUCUUCCCAUACCUUAUUCCAUGCCCACUGUGGAGACCAUCAGCUUAUGGAAUAAGGAAGUGAUCAUUUUUAUCUCAUUUUUUCUGUGGAACAAGACUUAUCUGUGUCGUGGCACAUAGUCAUCAUGGGUUUGAAAUUUUAACAUAAAAACACAAAAUUACAUCUUGGGUAUGUUGUCUUUGAGUGGAUUUGCAGAGUACCUCAUGCAGAUUCCUAUCACAGCGCUACUGUGAUAGUCUACCCUUACUCUUUCUCCCGUGUCCUCCCUCGCACGCCCCUACCCCAAGACUCUGAGCCCAAUAAUGGUAAUAAUUACAUAAAGACAUAUGCUAUGUCUUUAAUCAUAGCUGAGCAUAUAGUAGAUUUUCAAUAGAAGGUUUCUGAAUUUAAAAACAGGUGAAAUAUAGAUUAGAGGUGGUUGGGUCUGCAAAGGAAUAUAUACCAAACCAUAGAGAAGUGUGUAAAGGUCGAUUUAAGAACUAAAGUGAGAUGAGCAGGAAUUUUG
Molecule: long non-coding RNA, 1983 nt
Organism: Canis lupus familiaris (dog)
Lineage: Eukaryota; Metazoa; Chordata; Mammalia; Carnivora; Canidae
Exons: 5
Source: RefSeq, a predicted model, not a curated record